This is a long non-coding RNA of Halichondria panicea, 9085 nucleotides long. RefSeq lists it as uncharacterized. The record is from RefSeq and is a predicted model, not a curated record. Lineage: Eukaryota; Metazoa; Porifera; Demospongiae; Suberitida; Halichondriidae. The transcript has 13 exons.
AGGUAUAGCCAGCGAUCCGAUUUACGGCCAAUGUUUUAAUAUACCUGAUGAUAGACCUUGAUUAGUGCUCUCUAGUGGUGGUCUUGGAUUUUCAGUGCCUUGCUUGGUUCUCUAGAUAUGAAGGCCGAAAGUAGCUGGGCGUGGUCUGGUGAGUGGGUAAAGGGUGCUAGGUAUGAAAGUGGCUUAAUGGGGGUCAGAGGUCAGUUUGGAAAAGGGUUGGGCUUGCAAAUGAGAAUCCGGAUGACGACAUGUCUGGGUCAGAGGUCAGAUGGGCUGGGCAUCCGGAUGACGUAGUACUGGAGUUCAGAGGUCAGCGAGAUAAAACGGGUCAGAGGUCAGCUCAGAAAAAAGGGGCUGGGCUCUGUGCUUUAUAUAGAAAUACAAAUAAUUUUUUAUACAAAUAAGUACGGCCUAGGGUCCAGGUAGCUAGCUACUAUACUAUACCUUAGGGCAGUGCUAAAUAGACAAAGACAGCACUCUACAGAGUAUCACAGACAACCCCUGAGGGCAGAGCAGUGUCUCCACCAUUGUCUGCUGGGCUGGCUACUCAUUCAUUUGUGAUACCCAAAGGCGGUGGUCUGAGGAUUGUGAUUGGGAUGGACCUCAUCUCUUUAUUGAGAAGAACCUCAAUGGAAUGGCUGCUGCCCAAGACAUCUCCUCUUUGGAGUAGGGGGCGAGUCGGACUCUUGUAGCCUGUCCUGUUCAGAGUAGUCUUCAAGUUCCUGUAUACAGGUGGGUUAAAUUCCUUAGCAUACCGUAUAGCGGGUAAUUUUCGGGGGACAAAAUAUUCGUGGUUCAGCAAUAUUGAGACAUUUCGUGGGUAAUAUUUUCGUGGUUGGAGCUUGCACUGCAGGUAAAGGUAGGCAAGGUCGCUUCAUUCGUGGGUAAAAUAUUCGUGGUCAGACCUACAACCACGAAAACCACGAAUAUUUUGCCCCACGAAAAUUAUACGCUAUACGGUAUAUCCGGUUUCUGAGCAUUAUAUGUAGUUGCCGUGUAUACAAUACAUACUUGUUGUUUUCAAAUGCGGUUCACCAAAUGCAGUUUCCACUCUAUAUAUCACAAAGUACAUACAGCAAGGGUGUACAAACCUCUGAGUCCUUUGUUGGGGUGAGAGGCGAGUCUUCCAUGCUGGACAUCGCAGAGUUCUCUUUGCACCUGGAAUAUCUUGCUCUGUGAGAUCAACUUGCUGAGUUUGGUGAGAUGAAUAGUGCUGUUUGUGUACUGUGUAGCCUUUAUAUGCAACUAACCAAUGAUGUAACUACAAUCUAAAAAUAAUACUUGGUGUGGUGGUUUGUGGUUUUUUCAGCUGAGCUACCUGGUCACUUUGUGGUUAGGGUCACUUUGCUGACCAUCAGCACACAGAAAUGGUGUGUGGUUUUUUUCAAGCUGAGUUGUCACUUUGUGGUCAUGACCAGCACAGAGGAAAAACCCUAGGCACAAUUUUUAGGUUGUCACAAGUUAUGAAAAAUAAGGUAAGUGAGAUGAUUAUAUCUAUCCAUGAUUGCAUGUUGUGAUGUUGUGAUGAUUGUUGUAUAUACAGUAGAACCUCGAUUAUCCGGCCCUCCAUUAUCCGGAACCUCGAUUAUCCGGCUUGGCAGUUUUCUUUUUAUCAGAUUAAAUAAUUCAGAAAAUGGGCGUGUCCCUAAAAUGCGCAUGCGCGUUGCAGCUGUUACCAUGGAGACAUGCCUGCUUAUCUUCUGCGCAUGCGCAGACAACCAUGUGGCACUGCUGUUUAUCAAUAAAGUGGGUGGAUCAAGGCGUGGUUUAUCUAUUCGAUUAUCCGGCAUAUUCACUUAUCCGGCCUGCUUCUGGAACCAAGGUGUCCGGAUAAUCGAGGUUCUACUGUACAUACAAAUUGUGUCAGCUAGAUCUGUCUUGUUCCCUGCCAGGUGUAAAAUUGUGAUUGUGAUUGUGUACCUGCGUACUUACAGAUCAGACAAACACACAAGAGGACUCUCAAGCUGAAGAGCUGUUCCGCAGACUGGAGAAGCACCCUGUCUUGCUCAAAGAGCUGCCGAGACAUCUCAUUCUGAGGGCACCCGCCUUAGACACGACUGACGGCUAGCCACAGGGAUCACUCGAUUAUGCAGGAGACGAUAUUGGGACCACCCCUACGUGCAAGGCUCUGUGAUUAGUCAUAAUGAAGGCUAAUGAAGAUUGAGGAGCGUCUCAUCAAGUCUCCACCUGUCCAUUACUGCGUGGACAGUGCUUGUGUGGGGUCUCGUCAGAAGGGAGCGGGGUCGACACCUCUAUGGACACCACACCCUCUAACGCCCCCACCACUAUCAAACUAGGGGGCACUCCACAACUUGAGCUACACCCAAUACCCUCGUGAAACCCCUCCCCCUUUUCAAGUAAUGGUCAGAGUGUGCAGGGGAUCCCUCCUUGAUGUUUUCGGCAGUCACAAAGUACUCUCGGAUCUGCAGGACUACACCUACCUAUAUCAGGACAUGACGAGGUUGGUACCCAACUGUAGCGUACACCCUCGGCUACCCGCCAAAUAACGUUUCGGGGUGCUCAAAACUUGUAAGUGCCGAAACAAGGCAAGGGCCCGGUUAAAGAAACCCAUACACGUUUGGGCGAGGGGGGCGCGCCGGAGCACGGGAGAAAACUUGCGCUUUAGGGCAUGCCUCGAUUUUGGCAACUUUAUAUUUUCGAUAGCCGCAGUGCACGGCACCCAUUAAUGAGUCGAUGGCAGGUUAAGUAUUAGAAUAUUUUGCUGGUGAAAAACCUUUGCGAAUGUGCAUGGCAUUUCUUCUAAAAUUAUGGAUCAGCACGAGGAUCCCGGCUCAAUAGCUUGAAAUUCACCAAACCUAGUGGUUUUACUGUACAUAGGCUACUAUGGAGAGCAGUCUUGUGUUAGUUAUAGUUGCUGUCUCCAUUAACGGCUUACAAUAUUCGAGUUCACUUGAGCUUGCUAGAGAGCACAACAGUAGAUCUACACAGGCACUGUAUUCGUAGAUUUCAUUGGAAAGGUGAUUCUGAGAGCUACUGCAUCAAUAUUAUUAGUUUAGGAAUUGAACAUGCUCUCAAAAAUGCUACUAAAUAAUAGUUAGUAUUUCCAUAAUUCAAAAACAUGUACCUGUACAUGAAACAAUUUUAUACAUGGCUUAUGGCAUAAUAAGGCAAUCUAUAUUCAUGUUAGGUAGACCACAACAUUCCAAUUAGACACAUGCAUGCAGCCACAGCCUGUUGGACCAUAACUACAUGUACACUUAGUCCAUUUGCCUAUUGCCAUGACCACUUUCCAAUCAAAAUUAAAUUACACUGGAUUCAAGUAAUUAUUUAUUAGUUCUAGAAACCGCUAAUAGUGUGAGCAAAGUACAUUUACUGAGUGCGCGUGCAGUCCACUGAUGAGUCCCGGCACAAUAAACAUUAGGGACGAAAAGGUCUUGUAUUCGACCUUCUGGGCUAUACCAAUCCGUUACUGUAAGUGUAUGGCUUUUUGUCGCACUUUUCUGCAGCUCAAGCACACCUGUCCAGCAACAUUUUCUCCAUACAACGCCUUCUCAUGGAUCUGACCAAUGAGGUUGCGUAACACCAGGUGGAGGUAGCAAGAGUAUGGCCGCCCAGAUUGAGAAUGACGGCGUGGCAGGAUAUCAAUACUGGAGACUGCUGCCAGAAAAAAGUGGUUGACUCCUUCGGAAAGUUCAGACUGAGUUCAUUGUAGACAGUGAGGAGUGUGCACAGGGCCAGAGACACGGGAGCAAGCCUGGCAUCUUUCUCCAGUUUGAUGGCCACUGGGACCCAUCGCCAGCAUCAGCUCUUACCGGACAGCUGGGCAAACGUGAUGUACAGUUUGGAUUCAUUGAGAAUGACGCUAUUUUGAUGUGAGGAACUGAACUGGCAGUAUUUAAACAGUUACAGUCAAGAGAUGUGAGUCGUCGUGGUGAUGUGUAUUCUGAUCUAAAUAGCAGCUGUUGUAUAUGCCCCCCGCUCCAUUAGACUAUAACUUUCACUUUCAGCAUUAACACACACACACACACAAACGGACUACCGUAUACCUCGCUUGCGCAUGCGCACCGAGAGCAUAAUUAUUCUCGGCCACAGCAAUUAUGUCUACAUGCAGUCACAUGGUAUUCCUCUGAUCUGUUGCCUAGGACCAUCGAGAGGCCUCUCUUCCAAUCGAACGCUACCAAGGUCACACACAGGAGGUGUGCAGGCUCAGAUGGUCACCUGACGGUCAGCUCUUAUAGCCUCAGGUGGAGAUGACAACUAUGAUGUUUUCAGAGUACGAAGCUUGCAUGUACAUGUACGUGUACUUUAGAUCGAGUCAUCCAAUGCAAAUGUUCCUACACAAAGAUGCAUGCCUCUCAAUCAGGCAAAUAAGCAAAUAAGCAAAUAAAACCUCUCUAUAGAAAACCCGUUUUCAGGUGCACCUGCACAGCAUGUAUAUCUCCCACUCACUUUUGGUCGCAUCGUUUAUAAUAGGGUCACAGGCCAAUGUUACGAGCUGUUGUAUACGCUGUGCCCUCCCCCCUGUGCUCAAUUAGACACUAACGUACUUUUUGUUAAACCAUAGAUACAGGAAGAGAGGGAUUGGUAACAAAAGCGCCUCGAAUAGCCAUCCGUGUUUCCCUGCGGUUUAAUUGAAGCCGCCUACUUUCAACGUUGGGAAAAAUGGCCAGACACAAAAUAAGAGACAAACGAUUGUUUUACUGUCAGUAUAAGAAUUUUGCUGCUUGACUUUCAGUUCAAUGCAGUGCUUUAGGCCAUAUGCUACACAGUACACUACUUAGUUAGGCAGCUCUAGCUAUAUUAUAGUAGCAGGAGGUACAUAGUGUCGCAUGUACCUCUAGCUACUUCACAACAAUCGAAAUUAUGUUUUUGUCAUCUCUAAAUGAUGCCUACAAGCAAGGGGCAUCGAAUAGAAGGGCUUGGAAAGGUUCGUAAAGGUUGUUCUACCGCAUUGGGGAGGGAAACACGGAUGGCUUGUCAAGCUCUGUAUUGAUUUCAUGUAAUUUUAUAUGUGGCUUAUGGGCGCACGUGAUCCGUUGCCAAUCCCUCUCUUCCUGUAUCUAUGGUUAAACAAGCUGUUGCAUACGCUGUACCCCCCCCCCCCCUGUGUUCCAUUAGACUAUUAUAAUAACGUACUUUUUGUAUGUUGUAUACGCUGUGCCCCCCCCCCGUGUUUCGUUAGACUUUUAUGUGUUGUAUACGCUCUGCCCCCCCUGUGUUCCAUUAUAGUGUUAUAAUAAUGUAUGAUCGACCCUUCAGAGAUAGGACCUCCGUCUCACAUAGCGUUUAUUGUCUAGUGGGUCUUUACCGGCUGUUUUGGCUCAUUGUGACUGUUACUUAUCCAUUCUAAAGUCUUUACCCACUAAUCGAGGCACGCGUGUCGUAUACCUCCUCUGCUCUUGAACUGUGACAUACAUUCGAGAAUAAUGGUAUAACAAGUGCAAAAAACAUUUUUGGGAGAGUAGGGCAUGUGCUCUUGAACUGUGACAUACAUUCGAGAAUAAUAGGUAUAACAAGUGCAAAAAACAAAAAUGGGGAAGAGUUAUUGGACAGAGUUCAGGUAACAAUAGAGAUCACAGAAAGACGCACAAACAUGAGUGAAAUAAGCUUCAUCACAGGGACUUAUAUGCAGGAAGCGGCUUGUUUGCCAAGGUGGUUUGAACACCAAUACUUGCUGGGGAAAUCUGCACUUUAUUGUGUCCACAUCAUCAUGCUACAUGUAGGUGGUUCCACCCAAUUUCAUAGCUCCGUGGAGGGUCACAGCGAUCCCUACUCAACUGGUAGUCAGUGACCGCCUACGACGUUAGUAUUUAGCUUUUUUUCACAGCAAUAUUUUCUUUUUUGCAGCUCUAGUGAGUUUCUCUAUAGCAACACUUUCAUUUUGAAAAUUUUCAUUUUGGAUCUAAUUACCAACCAGGAAUUUGGCUGCCCGAUUCACUCACAUUGAGAACGACAGAGAUCAAGAGACAAGACUCGAUCAGAAUAAGUCAACGUGUUAUACGGUACCCUCUUCGAUGUGGGUCAUUCGUUUCUCACGUUUAAUUCUUAAGUUUCACCCCAAAAGCACUCUAUGUGUAACUAUACACGACAAUGUAUAGUGUACGUCCCAAAGUUAGCUACUUGCUUGCACCAUAAUCAUCAAGGUGAGGUGUAUUGGCAUUGGCCUACAGUAUUGCCCAGCAGUGACAGUUAUUGUAGCCUUUAAGGAAUGGAUGCAUGUAAAGUACUUAGUAUACGUACAAUUAAUCCUUAAUUCGAACCGUUGCCAAUAAUUAUCAUAAACAACAUUAGAUUGCAAUCAUUAAUCUUUGUAUGUACACAUGUACAUUAUUAUUGUCUUUGUGCAAAAGCACAAGAUAUACUGUGACAUGCAGCCUAUAAGCACAUGUGUCAUAUACACACACACAGCACAUACACCACUCCAGGUAUGGCAAAGACCAACUCGUUGUUUUGGGACGAUUGUACAUAUUGCUAGGUUGUACAAAGACGUUAUCUCCUCCGCAGUGGGAGCCUAGGGUUUGGGAUCACCAAGCACCUCCAGUGACUGUCAGCGGAUUGCUGUAAAAGUGUGUUGUGAUUCGUGUCCCAACGACAGUGCUGGCUGCUUGACAGAAGUGAUUGACCAAUGGAUGAAGGGUUGGUCUGGACGACCAACAUGGAGUGAGCUGGCCAAUCUCGUCUCAGUAACAUAGGAGAGAAGCAAGUACAUGUAGCAAAGGAACUUGUGACCAGCUACGAGUCUGGUGAGUAUACAGUGAUAAUAGUUGUGUUAGGUUGUACAAUCAACCCUUUAUCAGAGCUACGUAGGACUCGUGUGUCGCUUAAUGUUUAUUGUCUAGUGGGUCUUUACCGUCUGUUUUGGCUCAGUGUGACUGCUGCUUUUACCCAAGUGCUCUAAAGUAUUACCAAAUGUACCCACUCUGAGUAGAGAGGAUGUGUUUAUUGGUUGACUGAUGCUUCCAUUUACAGCCCCUUUGUAUACUUUAUUGCUUCUUGAUGUUUACCACUUCUAGCAGUUAGAAUAAAGUUCCCAUUCUGUUUACGUGUAGGGGCAUGUGGCAGGGGUGCACGACUCUAGGAGGAUCUUCUGAGAGGAGAGUGUGUUAUAUAAAAUAUCUCCUUAGGCAGUUCCAGCAGUGGAUUGCAGCUACAUCUGUUAUAGAGUGUACACAGACCAGUGAGGAGGACCUUGCACCUCAAGCACACCAGUGAGUUUCUCCAUAGAAUCAGAUUGCUCGUAGCACCAGUCGUAUGCUGAUGGAGGUGGCAAGAGAAUCUCAAGAAAAUGGCUGCCCAGGUCACCCAGAUUGAGAACGACAAAGAUCGAGAGAAGACUCACCGAUAAGAGAGAGUACAUGUAAGUCAAUAUACAGUACCCCCUUAGAUUAUAGGCACGUAGUUCACAUUUAAAGGUCGUCAGUUGAAUCCGAAGGUCGGGUGGAGAUGCUGGCGUGAUAAUAUCGGUUUACGCGGGCACAGUCUUUGUGGCUUAACCUGUUGACCCAUACUUGCAUUUUUUUGUCAUCUUGUUGUGGGGGCUGGCUAUGCGUUUAGGCCACUCUUUUUAUUUGUUGAACACACAAUCAGCAUGAGCUUGCCGUCACACAAACACGAAGUUUAACCCCACUCUCUUUUGAGUAGCCCCACAAAAUUAGCGCCACUGUUUUUAGCUUGUCGCCACACAAAUACAAAGUUUAGCCCCCCUACUCUUAGCAUACUUUUAGAACAAAUAGUAUGCCAUACAAUGGAGGAUUUCAAGUUGGUGGCAGAAGUUAAAAGUUGAAGUGCACUCAGCCAUGACCCCUCCCCCCCACACACACACAUGUACACACACACCGUGCACUGUGCACAGGAGGAUAGUCAGGGUCAAUUAAAAGGAUUCCUGAUAACUUAUUUGCAUUCCGCUCUUUCUUUCUUACCUCUAACCACUAGCGAGGGGGUUGGAGAUAAUUAAGUCCGCUGGAAGCAGAUUUGAAUUGACCUUAAAUAUCCUCAUUUGCGCGCACACACACACACACACACACACACUACUGACAAACAUUUGGUUCAUAUUAGCUCAGCCAACAAGUCACAAGUAAGUAUCCUUUGUCUUCGACUUAAUUCGUGGAUUUGCAAAAUAAUGUUCACAGUUUUGCUUACUUGGAAUGUCAUUGCAGCCUUUUCAGAAGAGCACGUUUGUUUACGGAGUGUCAAUUGGUUGAUCAUUACCCAUUCUUUGAGUUUGCAUGUGCAGUAAAAUGUAUGUUCGUCAUGUAAAUUUAAAAAAGCUAUUAGUUGCUUUAUGUUAUAUGUACGUAGCUUUGGCAUCUCCACCGAGGCAUCAGCACCUGAGGUGCUAAGUAUACUUAGACAGAGGAGGUUGGCCACGCGUCAUCAAUUUUGUGACGUAUGUGAUGUCUCUGCUCAAGUUACCAUGGAUACCGAGCAACUGUAAAAAGAAUGUAUGGCUACUGUUACUUUGCUAGCUUAUAACUGUUGUCUAGUUGGACCAGGAUUAGCUAGACUAUAGGGUAGAGUAUAGCUCAGCGGUGCUGCAUGUAGCUUGUACUGUACUGGCUGACAAGAAUCUGGUAAACACUAUAUGCACUGAUAACUCGCCAGAAUAGAGGGGAUCGCUGGGGAUCGGGUUGGUUAAUGAUAGCCAGAGAGAUACAUAAAUGUUGCUUUCAGUCUCCAAUGACCGUGCAACACCAGCUAGAAGUUUACAUGGAAAACCCUUGUCAAUUUCUAUGCCAGCUCAGCAAAAAAAGUGGUGCACGUGAUCGUGUCCAACCUCCUCUGAUGCUUAGAUCAUGUUUGUCAUAAAUACUGCAAUUUGAUUGGCUAAAGGAAUUAAGUGUUCUAUCCAACUUAGAAAAUCAUGUAUAUACUUCACUUAGAAAAUCAUGUAGAGAUAAGAACAUUCAAAUCUGAUUGGCUAAAUACCCAUGGUUGCUAUGAUCUAAAAUGCUUAGACACUGUUUAGGAAGUUUCCACGUGAUUUAGAAGUCCUCAGGGCACUGCGUUCGAGAUACUACGACCAGCCCUUUGGGCUUCUAAAUCAUGCAGAAACUUCCUAAACAGUAUCUAACUAUUGCAUAAUCAUACCAUGCAACUGCACUGUGCUGAUGAGGCCCAAUAAGGC